Molecule: small nuclear RNA, 127 nt
Gene: U2
Rfam family: U2 spliceosomal RNA
About the family: U2 is a small nuclear RNA (snRNA) component of the spliceosome (involved in pre-mRNA splicing).
Source: Ensembl
CUACGUAUUUUGUAAAAUUGUGAAGAAAAAAAAGAAAAAAAAAUUCUGUUCUUAUCAGUUUAAUAUCUGAUACGUCCUCUACCUGGGGACUACAUAUUAAAUUGAUUUUUGGAUCACGGAGCUGGAG